This 365-nucleotide ribosomal RNA is filed under the name uncultured Streptococcus sp. RNAcentral describes it as "bacterial SSU rRNA". It matches the Rfam family "Bacterial small subunit ribosomal RNA", at positions 1014 to 1382 of the family's 1533-position model. Lineage: Bacteria; Bacillati; Bacillota; Bacilli; Lactobacillales; Streptococcaceae. The record is from RNAcentral.
GUUACUUCGGUACAUCGGUGACAGGUGGUGCAUGGUUGUCGUCAGCUCGUGUCGUGAGAUGUUGGGUUAAGUCCCGCAACGAGCGCAACCCCUAUUGUUAGUUGCCAUCAUUCAGUUGGGCACUCUAGCGAGACUGCCGGUAAUAAACCGGAGGAAGUGGGAUGACGUCAAAUCAUCAUGCCCCUUAUGACCUGGGCUACACACGUGCUACAAUGGUUGGUACAACGAGUUGCGAGUCGGUGACGGCGAGCUAAUCUCUUAAAGCCAAUCUCAGUUCGGAUUGUAGGCUGCAACUCGCCUACAUGAAGUCGGAAUCGCUAGUAAUCGCGGAUCAGCACGCCGCGGUGAAUACGUUCCCGGGCCUU